Molecule: ribosomal RNA, 843 nt
Filed under: Phaeosaccardinula coffeicola
Lineage: Eukaryota; Fungi; Ascomycota; Eurotiomycetes; Chaetothyriales; Chaetothyriaceae
Description: LSU rRNA
Rfam family: Eukaryotic large subunit ribosomal RNA
Source: RNAcentral
UUGCCUCAGUAACGGCGAGUGAAGCGGCAACAGCUCAAAUUUGAAAUCUGGCCGUAAGGUCCGAGUUGUAAUUUGUAGAGGAUGUUUUGGGCACCGCCCCGGGUUAAAUUUCUUGGAACAGAAUGUCAAAGAGGGUGAGAGCCCCGUCUUGACCCGCGGUAGGACCUAUGUGAAACUCCUUCGACGAGUCGACUUGUUUGGGAAUGCAGGUCAAAAUGGGUGGUAAAUUUCAUCUAAAGCUAAAUAUUGGCCAGAGACCGAUAGCGCACAAGUAUAGUGAUCGAAAGAUGAAAAGCACUUUGAAAAGAGAGUUAAACAGUAUGUGAAAUUGUGGAAAGGGAAGCGCUGGCAACCAGACUCGAGCGCGGUGUUCCCCCGGGCUUCUGCCUGGGUUAUUUCACCGUGACCGGGCCAUCAUCAGUUUCGGGGGUUGGUCAAAGACUCCGAGAAUGUAUCCUCUCCUUCGGGGGAGGACUUAUAGCCCCAGGUGUCAUGCAGCCUCCCGGGACUGAGGAACGCGCUUCGGCGAGGAUGAUGGCGUAAUGGUUGUCAGCGACCCGUCUUGAAACACGGACCAAGGAGUCUAACAUCUAUGCGAGUGUUCGGGUGUCAAACCCUUGCGCGGAAUGAAAGUGAACGGAGGUAGGAAGGUGUAACAACCCGCACUAUCGACCGAUCCUGAUGUCUUCGGAUGGAUUUGAGUAAGAGCAUAGCUGUUGAGACCCGAAAGAUGGUGAACUAUGCGUGAAUAGGGUGAAGCCAGAGGAAACUCUGGUGAAGGCUCGCAGCGGUUCUGACGUGCAAAUCGAUCGUCAAAUUUGCGUAUAGGGGCGAAAGACUAAU